CCUACGGGAGGCAGCAGUGGGGAAUAUUGGACAAUGGGGGGAACCCUGAUCCAGCCAUGCCGCGUGUGUGAAGAAGGCCCUCGGGUUGUAAAGCACUUUCAGUGAGGAAGAACGCCUGGUGGUUAAUACCCAUCAGGAAAGACAUCACUCACAGAAGAAGCACCGGCUAACUCCGUGCCAGCAGCCGCGGUAAUACGGAGGGUGCGAGCGUUAAUCGGAGUUACUGGGCGUAAAGCGCGCGUAGGUGGCUUGAUAAGCCGGUUGUGAAAGCCCCGGGCUCAACCUGGGAACGGCAUCCGGAACUGUCAAGCUAGAGUGCAGGAGAGGAAGGUAGAAUUCCCGGUGUAGCGGUGAAAUGCGUAGAGAUCGGGAGGAAUACCAGUGGCGAAGGCGGCCUUCUGGACUGACACUGACACUGAGGUGCGAAAGCGUGGGUAGCAAACAGGAUUAGAUACCCCGGUAGUC
RNAcentral lists this ribosomal RNA (465 nucleotides) under Vreelandella stevensii. Its description in RNAcentral is "partial 16S ribosomal RNA". It matches the Rfam family "Bacterial small subunit ribosomal RNA", at positions 338 to 795 of the family's 1533-position model. Lineage: Bacteria; Pseudomonadati; Pseudomonadota; Gammaproteobacteria; Oceanospirillales; Halomonadaceae. The record is from RNAcentral.